This 450-nucleotide long non-coding RNA is filed under the name Sparus aurata (gilthead seabream). RNAcentral describes it as "lncRNA (ENSSAUG00010017464.1)". The record is from RNAcentral. Lineage: Eukaryota; Metazoa; Chordata; Actinopteri; Spariformes; Sparidae.
CACCGGGCGUCCAUCUUGGUUUGAAAAGGAGGGAGCUGAUCUUUCUCCACUUCCUCGACACCAGUGUGUUGUUUUUUUGUGUGUGUUUGUAGCACUUGCAGGGGCGACGGCUCAUGGAAAGUCAGAUACGGAGGUGCAGCUCGCUCCCCGGCACUCGCAGCUGGCGGAAAGCUGCAUCCGUCAUGCAAAGAUCAUCCCCAUCCCGCUCUCUCUUUGAAGUGCUGGCUUGGAUGUGUUGGAGGCAACAUGGCUCCAUCCACACAACUUCUCUCCACAGAGAGGCACCAUGGCCAUGGCUGUUAACCAUGAAGCUGGAGCCAGACACGCCCAUCGCUUCCUCCUGUCUACAACAGCCUCUCCGGUGCUACCUUGAACAUAAAAUAUGCCAUCCAAGUGCGAGAAAGCCCAACGGACCGCUUAACACCCACUGUUCCAUCUGAGUAGGAGGUG